Long non-coding RNA from Solanum tuberosum (potato), 411 nucleotides. RefSeq lists it as uncharacterized. The record is from RefSeq and is a predicted model, not a curated record. The transcript is spliced from 3 exons. Lineage: Eukaryota; Viridiplantae; Streptophyta; Magnoliopsida; Solanales; Solanaceae.
AUUCAACAUUCAACAGCCCCCCAAUGGCUCCAAAUAGCUAUGAAAAAUUGUUUGCUACUGUGUUGAUUGAAUGAAUUACUUCGGAAGCUGAGAUGAAAAUUAAGAAGGAUUGGAAGUUGUCAGAAGAACAAGGACAAAUUUCUAUAGAGAUAGAUAGAACGCUCCAAGAAAAAAUGAGAUUAAAAGUGGACAAAGAGAUUAAAAGUGGUGGAUUCUAUAAUGUCGAGAAUUCAACAGGGGCAAGGUUCUUGCAUUAUCUAAAAAGCCAUCGACAAAGGAGGGGAGCUUGAAGACACUUAGUAGUUAAUUUUCUUUUUCAUUUGUGUAUAUGCAUAAAUGACAUUGAACAAUGAAUUAUUGUGAAUUAUAUAUUUUGUUGAUUUUUUUAGUAAUAGAAGUACUUGUUAUAUC